CAANGUAUGCUUUGGAAACUGUUAGACUUGAGUGCAGAAGGGGAGAGUGGAAUUCCAUGUGUAGCGGUGAAAUGCGUAGAUAUAUGGAGGAACACCGGUGGCGAAAGCGGCUCUCUGGUCUGUCACUGACGCUGAGGCUCGAAAGCGUGGGUAGCGAACAGGAUUAGAUACCCUGGUAGUCCACGCCGUAAACGCUGAGUGCUAGGUGUUAGGUCCUUUCCGGGACUUAGUGCCGACGCUAACGCAUUAAGCACUCCGCCUGGGGAGUACGACCGCAAGGUUGAAACUCAAAGGAAUUGACGGGGGCCCGCACAAGCGGUGGAGCAUGUGGUUUAAUUCGAAGCAACGCGAAGAACCUUACCAGGUCUUGACAUCCCGAUGCCCGCUCUAGAGAUAGAGUUUUACUUUUUGUACAUCGGAGACAGGUGGUGCAUGGUUGUCGUCAGCUCGUGUCGUGAGAUGUUGGGUUNNNNNNNNNNNACGAGCGCAACCCUUAUUGUUAGUUGCCAUCAUUAAGUUGGGCACUCUAGCGAGACUGCCGGUAAUAAACCGGAGGAAGGUGGGGAUGACGUCAAAUCAUCAUGCCCCUUAUGACCUGGGCUACACACGUGCUACAAUGGUUGGUACAACGAGUCGCAAGCCGGUGACGGCAAGCUAAUCUCUGAAAGCCAAUCUCAGUUCGGAUUGUAGGCUGCAACUCGCCUACAUGAAGUCGGAAUCGCUAGUAAUCGCGGAUCAGCACGCCGCGGUGAAUACGUUCCCGGGCCUU
This 769-nucleotide ribosomal RNA is filed under the name uncultured bacterium. RNAcentral's name for it is "bacterial SSU rRNA". It matches the Rfam family "Bacterial small subunit ribosomal RNA", at positions 615 to 1382 of the family's 1533-position model. The record is from RNAcentral.